Molecule: ribosomal RNA, 253 nt
Filed under: uncultured prokaryote
Description: partial 16S ribosomal RNA
Rfam family: Bacterial small subunit ribosomal RNA
Source: RNAcentral
ACAGAGGUCCCGAGCGUUGUUCGGAUUCACUGGGCGUAAAGGGUGCGUAGGUGGUGAGGUAAGUCGGAUGUGAAAUCUCCGAGCUCAACUCGGAAAUGGCAUUGGAAACUACCUUGCUCGAGGGUUGGAGGGGGGACUGGAAUGCUUGGUGUAGCAGUGAAAUGCGUAGAUAUCAAGCGGAACACCAGUGGCGAAGGCGGCUUUCUGGGCCUACCCUGACGCUGAGGAGCGAAAGCGUGGGGAGCAAACCGGA